This 517-nucleotide long non-coding RNA is filed under the name Rattus norvegicus (Norway rat). RNAcentral describes it as "long non-coding RNA NONRATT024160". Lineage: Eukaryota; Metazoa; Chordata; Mammalia; Rodentia; Muridae. The record is from RNAcentral.
GCUAACUGCCUUCUAUGAAAGCAGUUAUUGAAGGUGAUCAUAUUCUUCCAGCCACAAGACUGAAAUAUGGUUUCUCAAAACUUAACUAAAAAGCUAUAUUUUACUGAGACACAUACAUACACCACAUGCGCGUGCGUGCAUGCUUGCACUCCCUUCCCCCCUGAAAUAAUUACAAAUCAUGGAGAGGUUUGUCUGGGCUACUUUGAAACAAGUUGAACAAACAAUGGUUGGUGAGUAAAAAAAGUGUCCUACAAUUCUCCCAGACUUGCUUCAUAAAGCUCUUGGCAGUCACACUACAUUGCACAGGAUUGAGAAGAGUUUAAAGAAAUCACAUUUCAGCUUCAACAGAGGGUUUCACCAGCAUAUUAGUCAGAAGAAUUUGGGAGUGAAUCCCACUACAGUGAUGCUGACUGCAUCUUUAAGAAGUGACCAUGAUGUUGUGUUCAUGUAUGGUAUGUAUAUACAUAUGAGUUGAGCCUCAUAUAUAUAUACACAUACACACAUACACAUAAACACA